UUGAGGGGGGCUGCUCCUAGUACGCUCCUAGUACGAGAGGACCGGAGUGGACGCAUCACUGGUGUUCGGGUUGUCAUGCCAAUGGCACUGCCCGGUAGCUAAAUGCGGAAGAGAUAAGUGCUGAAAGCAUCUAAGCACGAAACUUGCCCCGAGAUGAGUUCUCCCUGAGACUUUAAGUCUCCUGAAGGAACGUUGAAGACGACGACGUUGAUAGGUCGGGUGUGUAAGCGCAGCGAUGCGUUGAGCUAACCGAUACUAAUGAACCGUGAGGCUUAACCUU
RNAcentral lists this ribosomal RNA (280 nucleotides) under Enterobacter hormaechei. RNAcentral's name for it is "partial 23S ribosomal RNA". It matches the Rfam family "Bacterial large subunit ribosomal RNA", at positions 2652 to 2925 of the family's 2925-position model. The record is from RNAcentral. Lineage: Bacteria; Pseudomonadati; Pseudomonadota; Gammaproteobacteria; Enterobacterales; Enterobacteriaceae.